UACGGAGGGUGCAAGCGUUAUCCGGAUUUACUGGGUUUAAAGGGUGCGUAGGUGGAUUUGUAAGUCAGAGGUGAAAUCUCCGAGCUUAACUCGGAAACUGCCUUUGAUACUAUAAGUCUUGAAUUAUCUGGAGGUAAGCGGAAUAUGUCAUGUAGCGGUGAAAUGCUUAGAUAUGACAUAGAACACCGAUAGCGAAGGCAGCUUACUACGUCUCGAUUGACGCUGAGGCACGAAAGCGUGGGGAUCAAACAGG
Molecule: ribosomal RNA, 253 nt
Filed under: uncultured bacterium
Lineage: Bacteria
Description: partial 16S ribosomal RNA
Rfam family: Bacterial small subunit ribosomal RNA
Source: RNAcentral